UUCUUGAUUUAUAUAUAAGAAGUAAUUCCUGCCCAGUGACAUAGUUCAACGGCCGCGGUAUCCUAACCGUGCAAAGGUAGCAUAAUCACUUGCCCAUUAAUUGUGGGCUAGAAUGAAUGGACUAACGAAAUAAAAACUGUCUCUAUAAGCAUAAUAAAAAUUAAUCUCUAACUGAAGACUGUUAGAUAUCGUCGAAGGACAAGAAGACCCUAUAGAGCUUUAUUUUAACAAAAAAUUUCUUUUUGAAAAAUUCGGUUGGGGCGACCAGGGAAUAAUAAUCAUCCCUUAUUAUAAGAUAAAUUAAUCUAUACACUGACCCUUAAUAAAGAUCACUAGAAUAAGCUACCUUAGGGAUAACAGGCUAAUCCUACUAAAGAGUCCUUAUCAAUAGUGGGGGUUGGCACCUCGAUGUUGGCUUAGGGAAUCUAUAUGGCGCAAAAGUCAUAUAAAGAUGGUUUGUUCAACCAAUAAUACCCUACAUGAGCUGAGUUCAGACCGGCGUAAGCCAGGUUAGCUUCUAUCCUCGAUAACUUAAUCUAUUUAUAGUACGAAAGGACCUAAAUAAGAGUAAUAAUUAUAAAUACAUGACUAUAUAUAAUAUAUAUUAAAUAAAGUAACACAAAAACUAUG
Molecule: ribosomal RNA, 630 nt
Filed under: Dendrobaena byblica
Lineage: Eukaryota; Metazoa; Annelida; Clitellata; Crassiclitellata; Lumbricidae
Description: partial 16S ribosomal RNA
Rfam family: Bacterial large subunit ribosomal RNA
Source: RNAcentral